RNAcentral lists this transfer RNA (75 nucleotides) under Calothrix sp. FACHB-1219. RNAcentral describes it as "tRNA-His". It matches the Rfam family "tRNA". From Rfam's summary of the family: Transfer RNA (tRNA) molecules are approximately 80 nucleotides in length. Their secondary structure includes four short double-helical elements and three loops (D, anti-codon, and T loops). The record is from RNAcentral. Lineage: Bacteria; Bacillati; Cyanobacteriota; Cyanophyceae; Nostocales; Calotrichaceae. RNAcentral also lists the same sequence under 1 other name.
GUGUCUGAAGUCAAAGUGGCCGAGACGCUAGCCUGUGAAGCUAGUAAUUAGGGAGUUCAAGUCUCCUCAGACACC